CCGAGUGGAGGCAAGUCGAGCGAAUCUUUGGGAGCUUGCCCCUGAAGGUUAGUGGCGGACGGGUGAGAAACAAAUGGGCAACCUGCCUAUAAGACUGGGAUAACUUCGGGAAACCGGAGCUAAUACCGGAUAAUUCUUUUCUACACAUGUAGAAAAGCUAAAAGACGGUUUACGCUGUCACUUAUAGAUGGGCCCGCGGCGCAUUAGCUAGUUGGUGAGGUAACGGCUCACCAAGGCCACGAUGCGUAGCCGACCUGAGAGGGUGAUCGGCCACACUGGGACUGAGACACGGCCCAG
Molecule: unclassified non-coding RNA, 297 nt
Filed under: uncultured bacterium
Lineage: Bacteria
Description: partial contains 16S ribosomal RNA and 16S-23S ribosomal RNA intergenic spacer region
Rfam family: Bacterial small subunit ribosomal RNA
Source: RNAcentral